UCAUCGAAUCUACAUCCAGGCUGUUACCACCAAUCAUCCGUAAGGAGCUCGUAUUAGUUUGAUCAAAACAACACCAACAAACCAGAAAAACGUGAAGGAGGAGCCAGAAAAUCCCAUGGGGUUCACCUGUGAUGGAAACAUGCCAGUCAGUCAGCCAUGCCAGGUGUCCAAAGCUCAGCACCUACAAAGGAGUAGAACCCAGACUCCCACUGCUUGAACCCGCCUACUACGUAUUUCUAGGAAUGUCAUCGCUGAACGGGAAAAAAAAAAAUCAAGAACAAAAACAAACACAAAACUAGACAAAAACAGGACAAUAAAGUGAAAUUGGAAUCUGUUAAUACUAAAUCAUGCCGCAGUCCAAAUACAAAAGGCAUUUUACACCAGAAGACUGCCGAUUUUAAAGUGAGCUUUUUCAAGAACCCAGAAGUUUCCAUCCCUGCCAAGCCCAGAUUCCUACUAAUCAAAAUCAAGGCACAAACUCUCUCUUUGAGUUUUGCUAAUGAAAACCAGAGCUCCUCUUGACAACGCAAGUUUCUUCUGGAGGCUAAACCAAAACCCCCAACUUCUGUGCGUAAACUCACCUCCGUCUGCUGGAAAACAAAUGUUGGCUAACGUCAAGCCAUGUUACGUAGUUCACUCUCAACCAACACUCCUUUUCACAUAUGGCGUUGUCGGCCUAUGUCUUCCCAGCCGGAAGCAGUUGAACCUGUGCUUGGGACCUCACAUUUACCCAACGUAUUGAUUCUGUUAAAAUCAGACCCCGCACCCUCUCAUUUGCACCCUUCGGGAUAUUGAUUUUUAUCUCCAUCAUGCUUACUAGGCUGCCAGCUUCAAGUUGUACAUUAAUUUAAUAAACCUCUUUCCAAAUGUUCAUGCAAAUCACAGAUUAAAAGGAAAAAAAAUCAUAAGGCAAGGGCAAAGCUCCAAAGCAUGUCACUAGACACUUUCCACCGGAUUAACAUUUACUUUUAAAUCAGUCCCUUUAAAAAU
Molecule: long non-coding RNA, 990 nt
Organism: Herpailurus yagouaroundi (jaguarundi)
Lineage: Eukaryota; Metazoa; Chordata; Mammalia; Carnivora; Felidae
Exons: 3
Source: RefSeq, a predicted model, not a curated record